AUGGCGUGGCCCUGGACUGGAAGCAGCUGCUGGGCAGGUGAUGGACGGGGCUUGGGCAGCGCCUGGGGCAGCGGCGCGUGGAGGAGCUGUCCCCACACUGUCACCUGGGCUUGUCCCCAACUGUCACUUGGGUCUGUCCCCACACUGUCACCUGGGUCUAUCCCCACACUGUCACCUGGGCUUGUCCCCUCUCCUGUCCCCAGCUGUCACCUGGUUCUGUCCUCACACUGUCACCUGGGUCUGUCCCCUCUCCUGUCCCCACACUGUCACCUGGGCUUGUCCCCAACUGUCACUUGGGCCUGUCCCCUUUCCUGUCCCCACACUGUCACCUGGGCUUGUCCCCAACUGUCACUUGGGCCUGUCCCCUUUCCUGUCCCCACACUGUCACCUGGGCUUGUCCCCAUCUGUCACCUGGGCUUGUCCCCAUCUGUCACCUGGGCCUGUCCCCUCUCCUGUCCCCAGCUGUCACUUGGCCCUGUCCCCACACUGUCACCUGGGCUUGUCCCCAUCUGUCACUUGGGCCUGUCUCCUCUCCUGUCCCCACACUGUCACCUGGGCCUGUCCCCACACUGUCACCUGGGCUUGUCCCCAACUGUCACUUGUCCCCUCUCCUGUCCCCAGCUGUCACCUGUCCCUGUCCCCACACUGUCACCUGGGUCUGUCCCCACACUGUCACCUGGGCCUGUCCCCUCUCCUGUCCCCAUCUGUCACCUGGCUCUGUCCCCCACACUGUCACCUGGGCUUGUCCCCUCUCCUGUCCCCACACAGCCACUUGAGCCUGUCCUCUCACCUGUCCCCAUGCUGUCACCUGUCCCCUCUCCUGUCCCCUCACCUGUCACCUGUCCCUGUCCCCUCACCUGUCCCUGUCCAUGUCCCCAUCCCCUGAAGUGUCCCCGUUCCUGUGGCCACCAUAACCCUCCCUGGGAUCUCCUGCCCCACACCCCCAAACCUGCCCCACACCCCCAAACCUGCCCCACACCCCGGGACCGGUACCGGGAGGGGCGUGUCCGGUACCGGGAGGGGCGUGUCCGGUACCGGGAGGGGCGGGGCCUGUACCGAGAGGGGCGUGUCCGGUAUCGCAGGAGGCGUGUCCG
This 1094-nucleotide long non-coding RNA is filed under the name Taeniopygia guttata (zebra finch). RNAcentral's name for it is "lncRNA (ENSTGUG00000026157.1)". The record is from RNAcentral. Lineage: Eukaryota; Metazoa; Chordata; Aves; Passeriformes; Estrildidae.